UACGUAGGGGGCAAGCGUUGUCCGGAUUUAUUGGGCGUAAAGAGCGUGUAGGCGGCUUAGAAGGUCAGCUGUGAAAACUCGAGGCUCAACCUCGAGACGUCGGUUGAAACCACCUGGCUAGAGUCCGGAAGAGGAGAGUGGAAUUCCCGGUGUAGCGGUGAAAUGCGCAGAUAUCGGGAAGAACACCCGUGGCGAAGGCGGCUCUCUGGGACGGUACUGACGCUGAGACGCGAAAGCGUGGGGAGCGAACAGG
RNAcentral lists this ribosomal RNA (253 nucleotides) under uncultured bacterium. Its description in RNAcentral is "partial 16S ribosomal RNA". It matches the Rfam family "Bacterial small subunit ribosomal RNA", at positions 524 to 776 of the family's 1533-position model. The record is from RNAcentral.